RNAcentral lists this ribosomal RNA (524 nucleotides) under Harpactorini sp. 44350. Its description in RNAcentral is "partial 16S ribosomal RNA". It matches the Rfam family "Bacterial large subunit ribosomal RNA", at positions 1816 to 2609 of the family's 2925-position model. The record is from RNAcentral. Lineage: Eukaryota; Metazoa; Arthropoda; Insecta; Hemiptera; Reduviidae.
AUGUCCUUUUGUUUAUAAAUAUAAGGUCUAACCUGCCCAAUGAUUUAAUUUAAUGGCCGCGGUAUAUUAACUGUGCUAAGGUAGCAUAAUCAUUUGUCUUUUAAUUAAAGGCUAGAAUGAAUGGUUGGACGAGGUAUAAUCUUUCUUUAAUUUAAUUUAUGAACUUAAUUUUUUAGUUAAAAAGCUAAAAUUUAUUUGAGGGACGAGAAGACCCUAUAGAUCUUUAUAUUUAUUAUUUGUUAUAUAUUUUGGUUAAUUAUAUAUUUUAAUGGUAGUACAUAUUUGAUUGGGGUGAUUGUAGAAUUUAAAUUAACUUCUAUUUUUAUUUUUCAUUAAUUAAUGUUUAUUUGAUCCAUUUUUAUUGAUUACAAGAUUAAGUUACCUUAGGGAUAACAGCGUAAUCCUUUCGGAGAGCUCAUAUCGAUGAAAGGGCUUGCGACCUCGAUGUUGGAUUAAAAUAAGUCUUAGGUGUAGGAGCUUAAGAACUAGGUCUGUUCGACCUUUAAUUUUUUACAUGAUCUGAG